RNAcentral lists this ribosomal RNA (501 nucleotides) under uncultured bacterium. RNAcentral describes it as "partial 16S ribosomal RNA". It matches the Rfam family "Bacterial small subunit ribosomal RNA", at positions 30 to 523 of the family's 1533-position model. The record is from RNAcentral.
AUUGAACGCUGGCGGCAGGCUUAACACAUGCAAGUCGAGCGGGGGAAGGUAGCUUGCUACUGGACCUAGCGGCGGACGGGUGAGUAAUGCUUAGGAAUCUGCCUAUUAGUGGGGGACAACAUCUCGAAAGGGAUGCUAAUACCGCAUACGUCCUACGGGAGAAAGCAGGGGAUCUUCGGACCUUGCGCUAAUAGAUGAGCCUAAGUCGGAUUAGCUAGUUGGUGGGGUAAAGGCCUACCAAGGCGACGAUCUGUAGCGGGUCUGAGAUGAUGAUCCGCCACACUGGGACGUAGACACGGCCCAGACUCCUACGGGAGGCAGCAGUGGGGAAUAUUGGACAAUGGGGGGAACCCUGAUCCAGCCAUGCCGCGUGUGUGAAGAAGGCCUUAUGGUUGUAAAGCACUUUAAGCGAGGAGGAGGCUACUCUAGUUAAUACCUAGGGAUAGUGGACGUUACUCGCAGAAUAAGCACCGGCUAACUCUGUGCCAGCAGCCGCCGCCG